Molecule: ribosomal RNA, 402 nt
Filed under: uncultured Rhodoplanes sp.
Lineage: Bacteria; Pseudomonadati; Pseudomonadota; Alphaproteobacteria; Hyphomicrobiales; Nitrobacteraceae
Also listed under: 1 other name
Description: bacterial SSU rRNA
Rfam family: Bacterial small subunit ribosomal RNA
Source: RNAcentral
UGGGGAAUAUUGGACAAUGGGCGCAAGCCUGAUCCAGCCAUGCCGCGUGGGUGAUGAAGGCCCUAGGGUUGUAAAGCCCUUUCGGCGGGGAAGAUAAUGACGGUACCCGCAGAAGAAGCCCCGGCUAACUUCGUGCCAGCAGCCGCGGUAAUACGAAGGGGGCUAGCGUUGCUCGGAAUUACUGGGCGUAAAGCGCACGUAGGCGGCUUUCUAAGUCGGGGGUGAAAUCCUGGAGCUCAACUCCAGAACUGCCUUCGAUACUGGAGAGCUUGAGUCCGGGAGAGGUGAGUGGAACUGCGAGUGUAGAGGUGAAAUUCGUAGAUAUUCGCAAGAACACCAGUGGCGAAGGCGGCUCACUGGCCCGGUACUGACGCUGAGGUGCGAAAGCGUGGGGAGCAAACA